CAGGGUUCUAAAUGAACUUUUUUGAUCACCAGCCAAUGUGGCUGGUAACUUUUUAAAAAUUAUGAGUUUAUGAGAUGAGUGUCACUGAAUGCAUUUGAUCAUUUUAUUAACAUUGUUGGCAUGAAUACAUACCACAAAAUUUACACA
This is a long non-coding RNA of Alosa sapidissima (American shad), 147 nucleotides long. RefSeq lists it as uncharacterized. The record is from RefSeq and is a predicted model, not a curated record. NCBI's taxonomy places the organism in Eukaryota, Metazoa, Chordata, Actinopteri, Clupeiformes, Clupeidae. The transcript has 2 exons.